This 228-nucleotide ribosomal RNA is filed under the name uncultured archaeon. Its description in RNAcentral is "partial 16S ribosomal RNA". It matches the Rfam family "Archaeal small subunit ribosomal RNA", at positions 23 to 246 of the family's 1478-position model. The record is from RNAcentral.
GCCACUGCUAUUGGGGUUCGGCUAAGCCAUGCGAGUGGAGGGCGUCCCGCAAGGGAUGGCCCCGCAGACGGCUCAGUAACACGUCGUCAACCCACCUUAGGGUGGGGGACAACCUCGGGAAACUGAGGAUAAUCCCCCAUAGGCGGGGGAGGCUAGAAUGCCUUCCCGUCCAAAGCUCAGGCGCCCUAGGAUGGGACUGCGACCCAUCAGGCUGUUGGUGGUGUGACG